This is an RNA transcript of Drosophila pseudoobscura, 3976 nucleotides long. RefSeq lists it as uncharacterized. The record is from RefSeq and is a predicted model, not a curated record. The transcript has 2 exons. Lineage: Eukaryota; Metazoa; Arthropoda; Insecta; Diptera; Drosophilidae.
AUCAUUCAUCUUUGCAUCACUCUCAGCCGCAUCAGCCACCCCAAUCAUCAGCAGGACAAUCUUCAACUACUGAACCGGUACUCCAACCAGCGCAACCCUCCUGGCAAACGGCUCAUCAAGCUGCUUCAUACUCUCAUAUGGAGAUCGCAGCAGAUGAUCAAAUUUUGUUGGCAACAGCUAUGGUUUUGGUAAAGGAUGCCACAGGUGAAUACAAACUCGGUAGAGCGUUGCUUGAUUCAUGUUCUCAGGUUAAUUUUGUAACCGAAACCUUUGCACAAAAGCUUCGCCUUCGUCGUGAAAAACACCACAUUGGAAUUCGCAGUAUAGGAGACUCCCUUACUAGUUUGAAGGCUCGUACGACUACCUCUAUUAAGUCACGUACUUCCGGCUAUCAGCUCACUCUCCAGUUUGGAAUCACAUCCCAUAUUGCCUACCAGCCAGAUAAUGAGAUCGACAUAUCGAAUUGGAACCUACCAGCUAACAAUCCAUUGGCUGACGAAUCGUUCUAUAGGACUAAACGUAUUGAUUUGUUACUGGGGACCGAAGCCUUCUAUGGAGCUCUAGCUGUUGGCCAGAUUCGCAUUGGUCCAAAUCUUCCCACUUUGCAGAAGACUCUUUUUGGUUGGGUUGUUGCUGGGAGGUACCAGCGGCAAUAUAACAGACAGCCACCAUUGUGCUUGGCGACUUUGCAGCAAUUCCACCAUUUGCAGCAAUUAUGGAAAGUGGACUCAAAUGUCGAUCCAAGCGCUAGAAUGCUCCCAAAUCAUCGUCGCUGUGAGGACCAUUUCAGGGACACAACCCAUCAGGAUGCCAGUGGGCGGAUUGUCGUUCGCUUGCCAUUUCAAGAAGAUCCAAGUUGUCUUGGAAGUUCCUUCGAUACAGCUCGAACUCGAUUUUUUGCCAUUGAGAGACGUCUCGCUCGUCUACCGGAAAUUCGCUCGCAGUAUAUCUCGUUCAUGCAGGAAUAUGAAAUUCUCGGCCAUAUGUCCCUCGUACUGAAUCUUAACUUGGAAGAACCGCAUUAUUAUAUACCCCACCAUUUCGUUCUGAAACCAAGCAGUACCUCGACGAAGCUCAGAGUUGUCUUUGACGCCUCUUGCCGUACAACAUCUCAAAGGUCACUUAACGAUCUACUUUUAGUCGGCCCUACCAUUCAGGAUGAGUUGUACUUGCAAUUGCUGCGGUUCCGCAUGCAUAGGUUCGGCAUCACAGCCGACGUCACAAAAAUGUACAGGCAGGUACUUGUGAGUGAGAAGGAUAGAAAAUUCCAGUACAUUUUGUUGCGAGCAUCUCCAAAUACGGAUCUUCAAACCUACCAACUCAAUACAGUGACAUAUGGGACUGCGUCUGCCCCAUUUCUCGCAACUCGUAGUUUGCAUUAAAACUGCUGCUGUUAAAACUGCAUUUUAUGUUGAUGACCUUUUGUGUGGGGCUGAUGAUAUAGACUCUUCAAACUAAAAACUGAAAUCACAUCAACUCUUGCUCGUGGUCAGUUUCCAUUAUGCAAGUGGCAUUCAAAUCAUCCAGGCGUGAUUGAAGACGAAUCUACCAACGAAAUAAACAUUUCAGAAAACUCAGUCAGCAGCACACUCGGCGUAACUUGGCAUCAACGAAGGGAUGCAUUUAGUUUCACAUUUAAUCCAAAGGAAGUCUAUCCCACUACCACAAAACGAACAAUUUUGUCUACUGCGUCGUCGCUAUUCGAUCCAAUCGGUCUGCUAUCACCGUUAGUCAUUGUCUCUAAGAUCAUUCUUCAGGAGUUGUGGCUUUUGAAACUCGACUGGGACGAGUCUGUCCCCCAGAAUUUAAGCCACGCUUGAAGCAAGUGUUUGGAAUCGCUGAAUUCACUGUCGUCACUAGCGGUACCUCGUUUUUGUUUGCAGCCUGAUACUAGGAGCAUUCAAAUACAUGGAUUUUGCGACGCAUCGAUUCGGGCAUACGGCUGCUGUGUUUAUGUGCGCACGGAGAAUUCGCUUGGACAGGUCACAGUGAAAUUGUUCACUUCUAAGUCUAGAGUAGCACCAGUGAAGAAACAGUCUCUUCCGAAGCUUGAACUAUGCGGCGCACAUCUACUUUCUCAGUUUUAUAACAAAUAUUCAUAUUCAGUAAUUACACUAUCACAUCUUAUUUUUGGAGCGACUCACAGCUCGUAUUGCAUUGGCUGCAACAACACUCAGUCACCUUAUCGACUUUUGUUGGAAAUCGAGUGUCCGAUAUUCAGGAUUUAACGUCUGAUGGAAAAUGGCGCUAUGUGCCAACACAUCAAAACCCUGCUGAUAUUCUGUCGCGAGGCUGUAACGUGAGCGAGUUGAUUAAGUCUCCAUGGUUUUCGGGUCCUACGUUUCUAGUCGAAGAUUUACUAAACUGGCCCGCCACUGGUGGAAAACUUGAUAUUGACAUGGACGUGGUUAACUCGGAGAAUCGGAAAAGUUUGUUUGCUGCCGUACACGAGACAAAUAAUAUCCUCAACAUCGUCGAUAAUAUUAGCUCGUACACUCACAGUCUGCGUCUCAUUGCUUGGAUGAUUAGGUUCAUAAGGAGAUGUCGGAAGCAAUCGACGUUUACCACAACCUCACCGACGCCAGAUGAACUUCGUUUUGCAUCACAUUGCCUUAUUUGGAACAUUCAACAAACUCAUUUUGUAGAGGACAUCCGUUUACUUCAGAAGCAAAAACCAUUAAAAAGCAGCUUAAAGUUUCUUACUCCCUUUUUAGAAGUCGUGAACGGAUUCGAACUUAUCAAGGUUGGUGGACGUUUGGAAUACUAAGACCUACAAGACGGUCAAAAACAUCCGUUGCUGCUGCCUAGUCAGUCCUAAUUUGUAUGGAACUAUAUUCGCCAUUUGCAUCUUCGGAACUAUCACGCUGGACAUUAAGCCCUAGUCGCUCUCAUUCGUUUGGAGUAUUGGAUCGUUAACGCCAGAGACUUGGCACGUAGAAUUGUUCGCUCCUGUGUACACUGCGUUCGCUACAGACCGAAGCUGCUACAACAACUCAUGGGCUCAUUACCGACUACGCGACUCGCUCCUGCUCGACCCUUUGAACGCUGUGGAGUUGACUUUUGUGGACCCAUCAACACAUAUCUACGCAUUCGAGGAAAGGGACCUACAAAAGCAUACAUAGCCGUGUUCGUUUGCCUUCUCACCAAGGCCGUUCACAUCGAAGUAGUCUCUGAUUUGUCAACAAAGGCGUUCUUAAACGCAUUGAAACGGAUGGGAGGUCGUCGUAAGCUGCCGACAGACAUCUUCUGCGAUAAUGCCACUAACUUUGGCACCUUAUUUCGGAGGCCUUUGGGAAGCGGCAGUCAAGAGUGCAAAGGGGCUGUUAAAUCGUACGCUGGCCAACACCAGGUUCACCUUUGAAGAGUUGAGCACUGUCGUCGUCGAGAUAGAAUCGAUCCUCAACUCGCGCCCGCUAUCGCCGCUUUCGUCAGACCCAAAUGACUAUAGCACUCUCACGGCUGGUCAUCUCUUGGUUGGCGAAUCAUUGCGAUCACUACCUGAAAGGUCCCUCGAGAAUAUCAAGCUGUCAAGUUCAACGAAUUGCGAUCGCGCACGAAGUGGACAGCACCCUCAACGAACCUCACCGAGGGCACGUUGGUCAUCAUCCAUGAGGACAACCUGCCACCGCUACGCUGGAAACUAGGCCGAGUGCAGUCUACUGUGCUUGGGAAGGAUGGACUUGUACGAGUGGUGCACCUCCGCACUGCAAAUGGAACAUGUUGCAGGCCAAUACACAAGUUGGCAAUUCUUCCGGUGGUUUGAAAGCAGUCCUUUCAACGGGGCCGGGAUGUUCGGUGAAACUCCUUUAAGGAACAAGUAUUCAAAUGACCCUCGUAAAAUAGAGAGCCUACGCUCACUUUUUGUAUUUACUCUCACCAUAAUUGUACUAAAUUCACCACUGUAUUCUCUCUCUUAUGCCCAGUACUCAAGCAGUAAGAUUUGUAAUAAAUAGUUAUUCCCUAAUACUCAACUGGA